This is a non-coding RNA of 72 nucleotides. It matches the Rfam family "sucC RNA".
GUCACAGGUGGUGCGGCCCUGGUCACCAGAGCAGCACCGAAUGCGCAGUACCUAAACGAAGACGGUAAAAAG